UACAGAGGAGCCAAGCGUUGUCCGGAUUGACUGGGCGUAAAGCGCACGCAGGCGGAUGCGCGCGUGGGGUGUGAAAUCUGGCCGCUUAACGGCCAGGCGCCAUCCCAUACGGCGCGUCUGGAGUGAUGCAGAGGUCGAUGGAAUUGCCGGUGUAGUGGUGAAAUGCGUAGAGAUCGGCAGGAACACCCAGGGGGAAACCAGUCGACUGGGCAUCUACUGACGCUGAGGUGCGAGAGCGUGGGGAGCGAACAGG
RNAcentral lists this ribosomal RNA (253 nucleotides) under uncultured bacterium. Its description in RNAcentral is "partial 16S ribosomal RNA". It matches the Rfam family "Bacterial small subunit ribosomal RNA", at positions 524 to 776 of the family's 1533-position model. The record is from RNAcentral.